This 339-nucleotide unclassified non-coding RNA is filed under the name soil metagenome. Its description in RNAcentral is "partial contains 5.8S ribosomal RNA, internal transcribed spacer 2, and large subunit ribosomal RNA". The stretch from base 4 to 118 matches the Rfam family "5.8S ribosomal RNA", at positions 40 to 154 of the family's 154-position model. The record is from RNAcentral.
GAUAGAACGUAGCGAAAUGCGAUAACUAAUGUGAAUUGCAGAAUUCAGUGAAUCAUCGAGUCUUUGAACGCACAUUGCGCCCCCUGGUAUUCCGGGGGGCAUGCCUGUCCGAGCGUCAUUGCUGCCCUCAAGCACGGCUUGUGUGUUGGGCUCCGUCCCCCCGGGGACGGGUCCGAAAGGCAGCGGCGGCACCGAGUCCGGUCCUCGAGCGUAUGGGGCUUUGUCACCCGCUCUGUAGGCCCGGCCGGCGCCAGCCGACAACCAAUCAUCCUUUUUUCAGGUUGACCUCGGAUCAGGUAGGGAUACCCGCUGAACUUAAGCAUAUCAAUAAGCGGAGGA